Molecule: ribosomal RNA, 492 nt
Filed under: Triticum aestivum (bread wheat)
Lineage: Eukaryota; Viridiplantae; Streptophyta; Magnoliopsida; Poales; Poaceae
Description: partial small subunit ribosomal RNA
Source: RNAcentral
AUGCUGUGCAUGAUUAGGUAUCAAGAGAACCCUCUCGAAGAUGCACGUGAAGACGGACAAGCCGCCAAGUCCACGGAUGAAAAGGAACGUCGAAAGGAGAAGAAGGCAGCUCCAGGACCCAGACAUCCGACCCCAGCCCCGGACAUCCGGCCGCUGGAGACAUCCACUACAGCAACAAUCCAGCAACCGAAGCUACAGGACCCGGACAUGCGACCCCAGCCUCGGACAUCCGGCCCCGCACCAGCCCGGACAUCCGGCCUCUGCCCGGAAAUCCGGCGCCCGUCACAGAACAUACCCGAAGCUGAACCACUUCAGCCCGGACAUCCAGCUCUUCGCGAAGGCCCGGACAUCCGGCCCGUCGCCCGGACAUCCGGCCCCGUCUGUCUGCGCACAGUAAAGGGCCGAGGCCCAUGUACCCUUUCGCCCCCUAGACUAUAUAUACUCCUCCUCCUCCCUCUUCCUAGGGUUAGCAUUAGUUUAGCUCAUAUGUGA